GCCCCGGUAAACGGCGGCCGUAACUAUAACGGUCCUAAGGUAGCGAAAUUCCUUGUCGGGUAAGUUCCGACCUGCACGAAUGGCGUAAUGAUGGCCAGGCUGUCUCCACCCGAGACUCAGUGAAAUUGAACUCGCUGUGAAGAUGCAGUGUACCCGCGGCAAGACGGAAAGACCCCGUGAACCUUUACUAUAGCUUGACACUGAACACUGGUCCUUGAUGUGUAGGAUAGGUGGGAGGCUUUGAAGCGUGGACGCCAGUCUGCGUGGAGCCGUCCUUGAAAUACCACCCUUUAAUGGCUGGUGUUCUAACGUAGACCCGUAAUCCGGGUUGCGGACAGUGUCUGGUGGGUAGUUUGACUGGGGCGGUCUCCUCCCAAAGAGUAACGGAGGAGCACGAAGGUUAGCUAAUCCUGGUCGGACAUCAGGAGGUUAGUGCAAUGGCAUAAGCUAGCUUGACUGCGAGAGUGACGGCUCGAGCAGGUGCGAAAGCAGGUCAUAGUGAUCCGGUGGUUCUGAAUGGAAGGGCCAUCGCUCAACGGAUAAAAGGUACUCCGGGGAUAACAGGCUGAUACCGCCCAAGAGUUCAUAUCGACGGCGGUGUUUGGCACCUCGAUGUCGGCUCAUCACAUCCUGGGGCUGAAGUAGGUCCCAAGGGUAUGGCUGUUCGCCAUUUAAAGUGGUACGCGAGCUGGGUUUAGAACGUCGUGAGACAGUUCGGUCCCUAUCUGCCGUGGGCGCUGGAGAAUUGAGGGGGGCUGCUCCUAGUACGAGAGGACCGGAGUGGACGCAUCACUGGUGUUCGGGUUGUCAUGCCAAUGGCACUGCCCGGUAGCUAAAUGCGGAAGAGAUAAGUGCUGAAAGCAUCUAAGCACGAAACUUGC
Molecule: ribosomal RNA, 881 nt
Filed under: Enterobacter cloacae
Lineage: Bacteria; Pseudomonadati; Pseudomonadota; Gammaproteobacteria; Enterobacterales; Enterobacteriaceae
Description: partial 23S ribosomal RNA
Rfam family: Bacterial large subunit ribosomal RNA
Source: RNAcentral